Molecule: non-coding RNA, 6026 nt
Organism: Sus scrofa (pig)
Lineage: Eukaryota; Metazoa; Chordata; Mammalia; Artiodactyla; Suidae
Source: RefSeq, a predicted model, not a curated record
CAGCUUGGACGCAGUCACACUGGACCAAACGUGGUCUUGGUGUUUGUACUAAAAGCAGUUUUCUGUGUCGGUGGCCACCUGGUAAGCUUGGCCCUCCUGCUCUGGGGUCCCUGGACGGUCCCUGCAGCAGCGCGUCCUGCCUCCCAAGCCCCCCCCCACCUCCGCAGUUUCUCCUCAGAAUUGUGCAGUCUCCCUCUUACACCUGUGGCCCCCCCGAGGCUGUGGGGCAUCUAUCGUGGUCCCCACCUGCCUCGCUGCCCCUCCCCCGACGGCUCCUCCCAGGCCUCAGGUCUCAGGGUCUCGUCUUUUCUCGCGGGGGCCUUUCCCACUCUUCAGUGACCACGUCCUACUUUGCUGUAACCUGCCUGCCUGUCUGACUUGCUGCGACCUUAGAGCAGAGGCUUCACUGGCAUGUGUGUCGGUGGGGUGGACGUGGCUCUGGUGGGAAGUGGGGGGAAGCCGUGAUCUGCUCUGAGGACGUGGGGACCCUGGCGAGGGUCCCCACGUCCACGUCCCUUAAACUCUCUUUGAACAAUUAUCCAGUCCUACCAUUUGAGAAUUUGCCACGUCUCACUGCUACCAGUGGCGGCUAAGACGCCCCCGCUCAGGCUGUGUCAGCGGCUGGGAUGCCCCCAGCCUCAGAACGGGCUGGAUUUGCUCCUUGUUCCCUCACCUGCGUUCUGUUCUUGCACCAAAUGCCCGACUCUAGUUCACCACUCAGCCAGGGCUUUCAUGUCACUGGCUGUUGUCUUUCAUGGGGUGGGGGGGUUCACACCACCUGGCCUUUGCUGCUUCUCCCAAAGAGCCCCACCCUUAUCAAAGCUCAGAUAAGUUUGAGAAGGUUAGGGAUGAAAACUACCUUGGCAUUUGAUGUGUAUUUGCAUAUGCAUGUAAUUUAUUUGGGGGAAGAUUAGAGCAGCUAUUACCCAAGCAAAGAUAAUAAUUGCCCUAAUUAGUGAUAAAGUGGAAUUGGCAUUUUAGGAGGCUCGGAGUCCACAUCCUGGGCAAAUGUUUGUAUAAGACGUAACUUUCGAGGAGUACCUGCUUGAGCUGCCUUAAUUAACUUCAUUCUACUUACUAGACCCGUGUUUGUUCCCGUCUGGGGUUUUACAUUAAUAAACACAGAGUCCAUCGUAGGUAAAUGGCCCUUUGUUAAACGUGUUGAGGGAGCGGUGUGACCCACAGCCACGUGCCAGGUCGCGGGUCCCGAGUCUGGUCCAAAGGGAUGAGCAGUGCAGGCUUGGCAGGCCUUCUCCUGCAAGUCCGAACGCAGCACUUCGGGCUUCGUAAACCACAGGGUCUCGGACAGUGCCUGAGAGGGGCGUGCUUUGCGCCCACCACUUCUCAGACGUCGCCGGCUGCCCGUGCGGUCACAGGGUCACUUUAGAAAGUAGAAGUCAGUCAGUGGGGACCACAGGCCGCACGGCUCUUCGAUGCACAAAGUGGGGAGUUUGGGGUCACAAACUCUCAGUGUCUUUUUCUAAGGCUUGGACGCUUUUGUUUUUCUGCUCUUGUUUCUAGAGUCUUAGUUCAAGAAAGAGCCACGGCUGCUGAAGCCCCCACGUUUCUGAGGAUGGGGGCAGCUGGCUCCUGCAGGUGCAUCUGAGGGCAGCUCUGGGGCUGCACAGCCCGGACCCCCACAACCCUGAGGGUUUCUGGCCUUUGACAGAAAGCAUCCCGCGACCCUGCUGUGUACAGUUACCUGCAGGAAAGGCCCGUCCAGGACAACAGCGAACAGAAGUGGGACAAGGUCAGGAUUCAGGAGAUGACGCCAAUUUGUCAAGGAGGAAAAGGAAUUCGUUUCAACUCAUCAGAAACUCUAAGGUUAGACAUCUCAUAUCUAUAAAUUAUGCAGUUCAUUUUUGGAUUUUAGUACCUAGGUUGACGACUUUAUACAUCAAAAAUCAAUUUGCUCCUUAUCAGUGCUGUGCAGAUUUUGAAGGUCUUAUUCCUUUUAGAAGCCACAGAGUUUGGAGGAGGCUGGAGUUGUGGUGGGAAACUCAGAAAUGCAGAGAUCAGAAGGAGGUCUGCUCACAAGCCUUCCGAUCAGCCUGUCCCAACUGGAGCAUCAGCCAAAAGGGUUUUAAAUCUGAGCGAAGCUGGUGAAAGCAGUUGGUUAAGGAAGCCCCACUGGCCUUCGGUCUUCAGGAGGUGGCCUUCAUUCCGGCCGCCAGUGUGUGUGGUGCCAGGUGGAAGGUGUGGGGACAAAACCGGUGCCCGCAGGAGGCUCUGGGGAUGAGAGGCUCUCGCACCCAGGACUUGGCCCUGCCAGGUGCUGCGUUUGUGGCGGGGGGAGGGUGCUUGGGGCUUGAUGAGACCCCGGCAGAGCAGGUAAUUGGGUUGGCGUCAAGGAGGGUGUAUAGGUAAGCAGUGGAGUGACCUGACCGAAUUUGGGUGUUCAGGCGUGACCUUCACCUUGGCAUAACAAGGUCAGCGCUGUAGCAUGUUGGAUUUCACACUUGACACAGGCGCGGUAGCCGAUUAGCUGUGAAAUCCGCUUUCCUGAUUCCAAAUAGCCCUUUUCUAACUUGGGUCAUUUCUGACCCUUCACAUAAUGAGAAUAUUUUCUAGGUCUGGGAAAGUACUGGGUCUGUGCUUGCAGCGUUUACAGGUGUUGCUUUCGGCGUCCUCCCGAAGGCGUCCUCCCCUUCUGGGCGUUUCCCCGCCCUUGAGCGGGCAUGGCUGCAAUACCACACUUGACUCACUAAAGUUAGCCAAAGUUUGCACACGGCCCUUCUGUGCAAAACUUACCAAGUUUCCAGUCUGGGAUCUUUUACAGUGAAUCACUCUCCUGGUACCGAUGGUGCAGAGUCUCAGAUUUCCGAGUAUCCCCCGCGUGAGUGAUCCGGGGAUUGAAAAUAGACCAGUCAGGCGUCACUGGAAUUCUUGACGCCACAAUUGGGUCACGUCUCUGAGGGAUUUCUGCAGCUCGCUGGGUCGCACCGAGCAGAAGGCUAUUUGUAAAAAUCCCGUCCACGGGGUGCAAAGCGAGUCAUGCUAUUCAAGACCGUCCCCAAAGGCACCUGGUGGUGCGGAACUCCUGUGCGGCUCAGCCAGGCCCCAGCAGCUUUGUGUUUACCCGACAGAAGCCCCUGGAGCCUCCGCUCAGCUCUCCCGGUCGACGUCCGCGCAGACCCACUCGUGCCCAGCUCAAGGCGCGGCGGGGCCUGUCAGAGGGGCAGGUCCUGCCUUUCUCCAAGCGUGUGCAUGUGGCCUGAGACACAUGAAUCGCUUUUCAAAAUCCUUCAGGUGUUUGUGUGGUAAUUUUAAUACACUAGGCUUCAAAGCAUGUGGGCGCCCUGCCAACAGGCGGACUAACCCAGGGGUGGGAUUCUGGCAUUUCUCGUUGAAUGCCCUGAGCUGUUAGGGAAGAGUGUUUCCAACGAGGAGGAGGAGUCCAAUCAUGCCGCUGGGAGGUGGGUUUUUUUUUUUUUUCUUUUUUUACUGUUCUUUUUUACAGCAACUUAAGGUUUCAUUGCCAAGCCAUAACUAUUUCUAAUUUUAGCUCAGAUCCAUCCUCCUGAUCUCCGCGCGUCACUGUCUGAUUCCUGCUCUACGUUCUGUAGAGACGUCACCGCCACCUGACUUGUGCUGGUCACGACAGGACUGUGGCCGCUCACCAUGAAUUCCAGGCGCCCGUCAACGCUAAUGGAUUCAUCACUAUUACUAAGUCAGGCGCCCGACUUACUACGAGUUGGCACUAGCAGCGACGCCGAGGAAAGGUCACGUGGCCCAGCGACCAUGCUCACUCUUCCCUGCAGAAAGGGACCUUCUGCCAAAGUCAGCGAGGGAAGCAGCCGAAGCGUCUGACUCACCCCCAGCACAGCCUUUGGCAACCGCGCCUUUCUGCAAAACACAGCACGUUUUUCAAAUUCCUCCAAAUAACUAUGAUAACAAUAAAGAGAUGCUCAGGGAGAGGAGGGAGACUGCUGUCCCCAGCCUGCUCUGUGGCACGUCCCCAGGGCCAUACUCCAGCUCCUGCACUGUUGGCUGAUUUCUGGUCAGUUGGGAAGGAGCCAGCAGUCAGAAUGGAGCUCUGGUCCUGGGGAAAGAUCUCGGGGGCUGGUACUGGAUUCUGUCUGUUUGGCUCCUCGACCAAGUGCCUCUUCCUAGUCACUGUCCAAAGCACCACAGAUUGGGCAGUGAUUCACUCUCUGGUGAUCAGGUGUGCCCUGGGCAUCAGGCACUGAUUCAAAGGACACGCACUCCCAGCAGAGCCAGUGGGCAAAGCCCAGACACUCCUUGCUGUGUGUCAGGGCACAGAGGAAAGCUGCAAAAAACAAACAGGCCAGCUCCCGCUCUUGCCAAAUCAAGAUCUUCCUUUGGAAGGAAGAAGCCACUGAUGUUCAGGGCUCAUUCUAAAGAUUAUCCUGUGGGAUCAACUGAAAGCUAAGAAACAAAAUGUAGGCACCUUCUUUGAUGACAUCUAAAAUUUGUGCUUUCCUUGAAAUCAAUGUCGUGUUUCUAAGUUCAAUAGAAUUUCAAAUUCAAAUGUUUGUUUUAGAGUUUAAAACAUUCCUGUGUGUUAAAGUAAAAUAAUUUAGGGACAGCUAAACCCUAAAAGGAAGAAAGAGUUCUGAUCACAUUCAAUGAGAUCAAGGAGGAAGAUGUGAGAGAAAAAUGGUUUCCAUGACAACCUCAAGGUAAUCAGCGGCAAAACCGCAUUUCAACAGUCGUAGCUUCUUCUGUUCUAAUGCCACACAAAGCAAGAAAGAGUGUUGCUAAGUAUUUGAAUGAGGAUGUUCCAUACAUUAGACUCCAAAGUUUUUGGACUCUUUUGAGCUUCUUGGAUAUGUCCAUUUAUGUCUUUCAUCAACUUUGGAAAAGCUUUUGCAUUAAUCUUUCAACGGUUCUGUGCCAUUCCCCCUCUCUCUUUUCUUUCCAGGAUUCUAAUGACAGGGACCGCAUGCAUUUUAGGCCCUCUGAUUAUGUCAUGACGUGGCAUUCAUGUCCAUCUUUCUGCUCUCUGUUCUUCAGAUUGGCUGAUUUCUACAGAUUGAUUCAGGUUCACCAAAUCUUCCUCUCGUCAGCUCCACGAUCUUGUUAAGCUCACCUAGUAAAUCUUUCAUUUUAGAUACUCUAUUUUUUAGAACUAGCAUUUUGAUUGGAUUCAUAAACUGUCUGCUUCUCUGCUUCCGAGAUGUUCGUUAGUUAUGAGUAUGAUUCCUUUAUGUCCUGGAGCAGAACGGAAAGGUCCCUAUCUGCUGAUUACAACAUGUGGGUCAGCCUGGCUCAGUUUUCCUGGAAACUCUAGAGUUUCUUCAAAUGCCUGAUGUUGAAUUUUACUCUGGAAAUGCAGUCGGUUUGUUGUGAGGACUCUGGACUGUGGUGCGUCCUCUUCCAGGAGUUGGGGUUUGAUCUCAGCACACUGCUACCCGACUGGGAGGACACGCCAGAUGCUGUGUCCCCAGAGAGAGUCCCUUCUCCCCAUUGUGACUUCCGACACGUCCACCUGCUUUGCUUUCUCUCCAGUGCCUUCAGGCAUUUGUUUCUGUAUUUUGACAAGAGUUUUUUUGUGUCCCUCAGGGGCUUUGGACAGAUUUGGUGAGAGUACAGUGAUGAUACUGCAAGUGAAAAAAUGAUGCAGUUGGCUGCAGCUCACAGACAUCUUGGUAAACGCCCUGCAGCAAGACAUAGAAUUAAAGAGCACUCUGGGGCCUCCGAUGACAUCUCCUUUCUGUGUGUCGCUUGUGGUCGAGACAGCAGCAGGUGCAGGAAGGGAAGGGCUAUGUGCGCCUGUCAGCAUGGGGCUCAGACGGGGCGUGGCUAUUCAUGGUGAUAGCAUUUGUGGAGGGAAGAAAACAUGAAAGUCCCUCCAGGCAAUACUCAGAUCACUGGGGGAACAAUGAAGGGACAAGAACAGGAGUCCAUGCAUCUCAGAAAAACCUCCUCUGCCAGGGAAAAUGCAUACUUCUUCCAGUGGAAGCUAGGACCUAAGAGGGUAUUUCCUGUCUUUGCAAAAACACAGCAUUUUUUUUUUUUUGUCUUUUUGCUAAUUCUUGGGCUGCUCCCCCAGCAUAUGGAGA